UUCUCUUAGUUGAAAAUACAAUAAGGGGUUUUCAAUCCCUCGGUCUUGAUUGCUCAAGAGAGAAUG
RNAcentral lists this transfer RNA (66 nucleotides) under Xenoturbella churro. RNAcentral describes it as "tRNA-Glu". Lineage: Eukaryota; Metazoa; Xenacoelomorpha; Xenoturbellidae. The record is from RNAcentral.